Molecule: non-coding RNA, 107 nt
Organism: Gossypium hirsutum (cotton)
Lineage: Eukaryota; Viridiplantae; Streptophyta; Magnoliopsida; Malvales; Malvaceae
Source: Rfam
AAACUAUGCAUCGGGCACUUUUCAAUCAAUUCAUUGAAUCACUCCCAAGCUUCAAACAAUGUCUGAUCGUCAGAUUGCCAAAAAGAUGUAAUAUCAUUCCUCAAUUU